Molecule: long non-coding RNA, 645 nt
Organism: Saccostrea cuccullata (small rock oyster)
Lineage: Eukaryota; Metazoa; Mollusca; Bivalvia; Ostreida; Ostreidae
Exons: 3
Source: RefSeq, a predicted model, not a curated record
UCAAAGGAUGGUGAUAAAGAAGUUCAUCUUCAACAGUGUGAGAAAGAACUGGAAAUCAUGCAAUGCUGACAGAUGGUGACCCUACAUGAUAUGGAAAUGAGCAGCUACAGUCAGACAGGAAUUGGUGGAAAAACCUAGAAAAUGCAAUUCUGAUGAAUGUUGAUCUCUCAAGGACUACAACCAGGCAGAGUUGGUGGAAUCAACUGGAAAAGACAAGACUGAUGGAUGUUAACCUUCCCAACAGCAAGACUUGCCACAAUGGAUUACUGUCACUGAUCAGUGUGUUUUGAUGAUUUGGUGACAGUACCCAGUAUGAGACUCAGAUGAAGUCUGACAUGUGGAUGUGCUUGGCAUGAAAGACAAGAAACCUUCAGAAAAUAAAAGCAUUGAAGAGGCAUAUCCUUGAGAUCAUAUUUGGAGAAAAUCAAUGAAAAGUGACAUUAUGCAGAAAGCCAGAUCUGUGAAGCACACACAAGCACAUCCAUUUUUAUUGUCCAAAACAAAUUUGUUCGAGGCAUUUGUUUUGGAACGGGGUGUCUGAGUUGUAAGAGGGUAUGGGGUCACCCACUCAGACACGUGGGUUUUCUCCGGGUGCUCCGGUUUCCCCCCACACUGACCCCUCAUUCUUUUUCUCUAUGUGCAAAU